CCUACGGGAGGCAGCAGUAGGGAAUUUUCCGCAAUGGGCGAAAGCCUGACGGAGCAAUACCGCGUGAGGGAUGACGGCCUGUGGGUUGUAAACCUCUUUUCUCAAGGAAGAAGUUCUGACGGUACUUGAGGAAUAAGCAUCGGCUAACUCUGUGCCAGCAGCCGCGGUAAUACAGAGGAUGCAAGCGUUAUCCGGAAUCACUGGGCAUAAAGCGUCUGUAGGUUGUUUAGUAAGUCUGCUGUUAAAGACUGGGGCUUAACCCCAGAAAAGCAGUGGAAACUGCUAGACUCGAGUGUGGUAGAGGUAGAGGGAAUUCCUAGUGUAGCGGUGAAAUGCGUAGAUAUUAGGAAGAACACCAAUGGCGAAGGCACUCUACUGGGCCAUAACUGACACUGAGAGACGACAGCUAGGGGAGCAAACGGGAUUAGAUACCCCGGUAGUCCUAGCCGUAAACGAUGGAUACUAGAUGUUGCACGUAUUAACCCGUGCAGUAUCGUAGCUAAGGCGUUAAGUAUCCCGCCUGGGAAAGUACGCGUCGCGAGAGAGAACGUUAAAGUAAGUAAGUUAGUUACGGCGUGAGACGUGCCGACGGACGACGACGAGGGAGGAGG
This 611-nucleotide ribosomal RNA is filed under the name uncultured bacterium. RNAcentral's name for it is "bacterial SSU rRNA". The stretch from base 1 to 521 matches the Rfam family "Bacterial small subunit ribosomal RNA", at positions 338 to 873 of the family's 1533-position model. The record is from RNAcentral.